AUUGAACGCUGGCGGCAGGCCUAACACAUGCAAGUCGAACGAGUGGCGGACGGGUGAGUAAUGUCUGGGAAACUGCCUGAUGGAGGGGGAUAACUACUGGAAACGGUAGCUAAUACCGCAUACCAUCAGAUGUGCCCAUAUGGGAUUAGCUUGUUGGUGUGGUAACUGCUCACCAAGGCGACGAUCCCUAGCUGGUCUGAGAGGAUGACCAGCCACAAUGGAACUGAGACACGGUCCAGAAUACUAGGGGAGGCAGCAGUAGGGAAUAUUGCAACAUGGGCGAAAGCCUGAUGCAGAAAUGCCGCGUGGAUGAAGAAGGCAUUCGGGUUGUAAAGUACUUUCAGCGAGGAGGCGUUACCCGAAGAAGAAGCACCGGCUAACUCCGUGCCAGCAGCCGCGGUAAUUC
This 406-nucleotide ribosomal RNA is filed under the name uncultured bacterium. Its description in RNAcentral is "partial 16S ribosomal RNA". It matches the Rfam family "Bacterial small subunit ribosomal RNA", at positions 30 to 526 of the family's 1533-position model. The record is from RNAcentral.